RNAcentral lists this ribosomal RNA (853 nucleotides) under Duportella kuehneroides. RNAcentral describes it as "LSU rRNA". It matches the Rfam family "Eukaryotic large subunit ribosomal RNA", at positions 1 to 883 of the family's 3401-position model. Lineage: Eukaryota; Fungi; Basidiomycota; Agaricomycetes; Russulales; Peniophoraceae. The record is from RNAcentral.
UUGACCUCAAAUCAGGCGGGACUACCCGCUGAACUUAAGCAUAUCAAUAAGCGGAGGAAAAGAAACUAACAAGGAUUCCCCUAGUAACUGCGAGUGAAGCGGGAAGAGCUCAAAUUUAAAAUCUGGCGUCUUCGGCGUCCGAGUUGUAAUUUAGAGAAGCGUUUUCCGCGCUGGACCGUGUACAAGUCUCCUGGAACGGAGCGUCAUAGAGGGUGAGAAUCCCGUCUUUGACACGGACCCCCAGUGCUCUGUGAUACGCUCUCGAAGAGUCGAGUUGUUUGGGAAUGCAGCUCAAAAUGGGUGGUGAACUCCAUCUAAAGCUAAAUAUUGGCGAGAGACCGAUAGCGAACAAGUACCGUGAGGGAAAGAUGAAAAGCACUUUGGAAAGAGAGUGAAACAGUACGUGAAAUUGUUGAAAGGGAAACGCUUGAAGUCAGUCGCGUUUGCCGAGACUCAGCCUCCGGGUGUACUUCUCGGUGGACGGGCCAGCAUCACUUUCGAUCAUCGGAAAAGGGCGAGGGGAAUGUGGCACCUCCGGGUGUGUUAUAGCCUCUUGUCGUAUACGGUGACCGGGAGUGAGGACCGCCUUUGUAGGAUGCUGGCGUAAUGGCUUUAAACGACCCGUCUUGAAACACGGACCAAGGAGUCUAACAUGCCCGCGAGUGUUUGGGUGGAAAACCCAUGCGCGUAAUGAAAGUGAAAGUUGGGAAGGCUGUCGUGGCCUGCACCGACGCCCGGACUUGAGAUUUAUCGAAGGUUCUGCGGUAGAGCGUGUAUGUUGGGACCCGAAAGAUGGUGAACUAUGCCUGAAUAGGGUGAAGCCAGAGGAAACUCUGGUGGAGGCUCGUAGCGA